This 253-nucleotide ribosomal RNA is filed under the name uncultured bacterium. RNAcentral's name for it is "partial 16S ribosomal RNA". It matches the Rfam family "Bacterial small subunit ribosomal RNA", at positions 524 to 776 of the family's 1533-position model. The record is from RNAcentral.
UACAGAGGGUGCGAGCGUUAAUCGGAAUUACUGGGCGUAAAGGGCGCGUAGGCGGUAAAGUGUGUGGGAUGUGAAAGCCCUGGGCUUAACCUAGGAAGCGCAUACCAAACUACUUAACUAGAGUAGAGGAGAGGGUGGUGGAAUUUCCGGUGUAGCGGUGAAAUGCGUAGAGAUCGGAAGGAACGUCAAUGGCGAAGGCAGCCACCUGGCCUCAUACUGACGCUGAGGCGCGAAAGCGUGGGGAGCGAACAGG